Molecule: ribosomal RNA, 784 nt
Filed under: Bacillus sp. (in: firmicutes)
Lineage: Bacteria; Bacillati; Bacillota; Bacilli; Caryophanales; Bacillaceae
Description: bacterial SSU rRNA
Rfam family: Bacterial small subunit ribosomal RNA
Source: RNAcentral
UAAUGCAGUCGAGCGGACAGAUGGGAGCUUGCUCCCUGAUGUUAGCGGCGGACGGGUGAGUAACACGUGGGUAACCUGCCUGUAAGACUGGGAUAACUCCGGGAAACCGGGGCUAAUACCGGAUGGUUGUUUGAACCGCAUGGUUCAAACAUAAAAGGUGGCUUCGGCUACCACUUACAGAUGGACCCGCGGCGCAUUAGCUAGUUGGUGAGGUAACGGCUCACCAAGGCAACGAUGCGUAGCCGACCUGAGAGGGUGAUCGGCCACACUGGGACUGAGACACGGCCCAGACUCCUACGGGAGGCAGCAGUAGGGAAUCUUCCGCAAUGGACGAAAGUCUGACGGAGCAACGCCGCGUGAGUGAUGAAGGUUUUCGGAUCGUAAAGCUCUGUUGUUAGGGAAGAACAAGUACCGUUCGAAUAGGGCGGUACCUUGACGGUACCUAACCAGAAAGCCACGGCUAACUACGUGCCAGCAGCCGCGGUAAUACGUAGGUGGCAAGCGUUGUCCGGAAUUAUUGGGCGUAAAGGGCUCGCAGGCGGUUUCUUAAGUCUGAUGUGAAAGCCCCCGGCUCAACCGGGGAGGGUCAUUGGAAACUGGGGAACUUGAGUGCAGAAGAGGAGAGUGGAAUUCCACGUGUAGCGGUGAAAUGCGUAGAGAUGUGGAGGAACACCAGUGGCGAAGGCGACUCUCUGGUCUGUAACUGACGCUGAGGAGCGAAAGCGUGGGGAGCGAACAGGAUUAGAUACCCUGGUAGUCCACGCCGUAAACGAUGAGUGCUAAG